RNAcentral lists this ribosomal RNA (301 nucleotides) under uncultured bacterium. RNAcentral describes it as "partial 16S ribosomal RNA". It matches the Rfam family "Bacterial small subunit ribosomal RNA", at positions 509 to 809 of the family's 1533-position model. The record is from RNAcentral.
CAGUAGCCGCGGUAAUACGGAGGGGGCUAGCGUUGUUCGGAAUUACUGGGCGUAAAGCGCACGUAGGCGGCUUGGUAAGUUAGAGGUGAAAGCCUGGAGCUCAACUCCAGAAUUGCCUUUAAGACUGCCGAGCUAGCAGGUGAGAGAGGUAAGUGGAAUUCCGAGUGUAGAGGUGAAAUUCGUAGAUAUUCGGAAGAACACCAGUGGCGAAGGCGGCUUACUGGCUCAUACUGGACGCUGAGGUGCGAAAGCGUGGGGAGCAAACAGGAUUAGAUACCCCCGUAGUCCCUGUCUCUUAUAA